CCCUAUGGGGCGCAGCAGGCGGAAUGAUCAGUCAGUGGUGAAAUCCUACAGCUUAACUGUAGAACUGCCAUUGAUACUGUCGUUCUUGAGUACACUUGGAGUGGGCGGAAUGUGUCAUGUAGCGGUGAAAUGCUUAGAUAUGACACAGAACACCGAUCGCGAAGGCAGCUCACUAAGUUGUAACUGACGCUCAGGCACGAAAGCGUGGGGAUCAAACA
This 218-nucleotide ribosomal RNA is filed under the name uncultured prokaryote. Its description in RNAcentral is "partial 16S ribosomal RNA". It matches the Rfam family "Bacterial small subunit ribosomal RNA", at positions 561 to 774 of the family's 1533-position model. The record is from RNAcentral.